RNAcentral lists this ribosomal RNA (216 nucleotides) under Glomeromycotina sp. RNAcentral describes it as "partial small subunit ribosomal RNA". The stretch from base 40 to 216 matches the Rfam family "Eukaryotic small subunit ribosomal RNA", at positions 686 to 864 of the family's 1831-position model. Lineage: Eukaryota; Fungi; Glomeromycota. The record is from RNAcentral.
AGGUCAGUAGGUUGGUCGUGCCACCGGUACGUACUGGUCUCACUGAUUCCUCCUUCCUGAAGAACCGUAAUGCCAUUAAUUUGGUGUUGCGGGGAAACAGGACUGUUACUUUGAAAAAAUUAGAGUGUUUAAAGCAAGCUAACGCUUGAAUACAUUAGCAUGGAAUAAUGAAAUAGGACGAUCGAUCCUAUUUUGUUGGUCUCUAGGAUUGACGUA